RNAcentral lists this ribosomal RNA (429 nucleotides) under uncultured bacterium. RNAcentral describes it as "bacterial SSU rRNA". It matches the Rfam family "Bacterial small subunit ribosomal RNA", at positions 355 to 776 of the family's 1533-position model. The record is from RNAcentral.
UGGGGAAUAUUGGACAAUGGGGGGAACCCUGAUCCAGCGAUGCCGCGUGUGUGAAGAAGGCCUGCGGGUUGUAAAGCACUUUCAGUGGGAAAGAGAAGCGUCUUGUGAAUAAUGGGACGUGGAGACGUUACUCACAGAAGAAGCACCGGCUAACUCUGUGCCAGCAGCCGCGGUAAUACAGAGGGUGCGAGCGUUAAUCGGAGUAACUGGGCGUAAAGGGCACGUAGGCGGUUAUAUUAGUCUGAUGUGAAAGACCUGGGCUUAACCUGGGAUGUGCAUUGGAAACGGUAUAGCUAGAGUUUGGGAGAGGGAAGUGGAAUUUCCGGUGUAGCGGUGAAAUGCGUAGAGAUCGGAAAGAACACUCGUGGCGAAGGCGGCUUUCUGGCCCAAAACUGACGCUGAGGUGCGAAAGCGUGGGGAGCAAACAGG